CUGACACUUCUCUGCCAGAGUGUUAGCCAGUAAUGGUACCGGCUUACCUUGAGCUACUUCUACCUGGAUUUGUUCCCAGAUUCUGACCCUUCUUGUCUCUGUGUUCCCAGCUACCCUGGUCCGGAGUUAUCAGGUCAUCAGUCAACCCUCGAGACGGAACCCUCACUGCCUUGAGUCUUACCUGUCCGUCCUCUGCCGCCGCCUCUGAUCUCAACCCUCAACCUGCUGACCAGCCUCUAGACCCUCAAGGUCCUCUCCCAGUCCAACACUCCCCCUGAACAGUUGCCCUGAGAUCUGCCAGACGAACCAAGGAUCCUAAUUCUCAUUGUUUGAAUUCACUGUAAAUAAAUCACACUAUUGUA
This is a long non-coding RNA of Poecilia latipinna (sailfin molly), 362 nucleotides long. RefSeq lists it as uncharacterized. The record is from RefSeq and is a predicted model, not a curated record. The transcript has 2 exons. NCBI's taxonomy places the organism in Eukaryota, Metazoa, Chordata, Actinopteri, Cyprinodontiformes, Poeciliidae.